This is a long non-coding RNA of Seriola aureovittata, 2802 nucleotides long. RefSeq lists it as uncharacterized. Lineage: Eukaryota; Metazoa; Chordata; Actinopteri; Carangiformes; Carangidae. The transcript has 4 exons. The record is from RefSeq and is a predicted model, not a curated record.
AGUCGGUAAAACCUCUAAACGAUGGACAAAAUUAUUUUCAACGAGUCAAUCCACAACUUGCCUAAGACUACAAUGGCUGAUGUAAACAGAAUCGCCGAAAUGUUUUCAUUAACUUGAGAGAAGCUACAAGUUCUUUGUUGAAAACUACUUAUUCAACUAUCAAGGCGAGUCCCCUGAUGCUAAGCUAACGCUAACUGGUUAAGGCUAACUGUAAGCAAGCUCACUGUUUAACGAUCUCUGGAUAUGUUGAGUUUAUUUUCAUAAUCAUGUACUUACUCAUCCAUAGCUAGUUUCAUUUCAAAACGUUUUUUAGUAACUGAAUCUUAUAUUUUCCCCUGAUAUAUGCAGUGUCGUGGAUAGUAGAUGGUGAAGUGGCAAUUCGGGCAAGAUGCCACCAAUGAAUGAAAAAGAGCAGCCACAUUAUGUCCAGGUUGCCUAUAUGAACAAUUAAGUGGCAUAUCCAUGUUAAUUUAGGCUACUGCGGUGUAGCAGUGUGUUCUGUUGUUCCUGUGUCCCGUCUGUUGCUGCCUUUAAGUAGUUAAAGUUCAAUUUAAUUACGCCACAAAAUUCCUAUGUUCUUGAUCUCAGGUUGAUUGGUUCCUGACCGUAUACAUAUGUUUGAUUCAUACUCCUGACAUCCUCACAGAUCAUAGUUAAAACGUUAAAGAUAAGUUAAAAUGAUAUUCUGUUUAGUGUGUUUUUAUUUAUUUAUUUUUUAAAGUUGUCAUCACUAAUGCAUCCGAAAACAACAUGGAUGUUAUUAUUAAUACUAUAAUAAAAAUACUUGUUUGGAAGCUUGCAGUUUCUGAAUUGUUGUUAAGGAACUUACUGUGAAAUACUGAUGAAGUACUGAACUACUCAGUAACAACUCUGAUGUAUCACUUUACUGACCAAAUCUCUACAAACUAUGUAAGGUUUAACACAGCCUGCUUUAUGCUUAGAAAUGUGGUGUCAAUAUAUGUAUGUUAGUUUAGCAGCAGAUGUUUUUAAAAACAAACUCUAACUGUUGUAGUUAAUAUCAAAUGCCACCUUUGCUUUUCAUUUCAUUUAAUACGAUUUUCAUUGGGAUGCCAGACCAGCAAGAAAAGGUAAGUCAUGCGCAUGACUCCACCCCACGUGUGUGUGUAUAGGCCGGGUUCAAAUUAGACUCAAAAUGAUUCUGAGCUUGUAAAGUGAUGUUCACAAAUAAUUCUAAUGUUUGUAGUUAUAAAUAAACAUUUGAAAACCUUUAAAACCGAGAAAUUCAAGUUUAUGCAUGUGAAAAAUUGUGCUUAUGUCGAAGAGAUUUGUAUUUGUUUUUAUUUAUAUAUAUAUAUUUUUUUAAACUGAAUCAAAGAUGAACAAAUGAGCAUUUUACAUUGAUUAAUGAAUUAAAUAAUUUCAACACAAGAAUAACAAUAAGAAAAUGGGGGGGUGCCUGAAUACUUUCUAAAUACAUAUGUCUGAUCUGUCAAACAGAUAUCUUUUAGUAUUCUUUCCUAACAGAUGCUUCCCACCAGCGAGUUUAUCUACAGUGAGGUGUAAUGUAUAUUAUGUUUUCAUGCAUGAUAACUCGUUUUGGUAGAAAAAUUGGAGAAAAAAUUUCAUUCAUUGAACAUUUACAGUGUUUUUGUAUGUUUGUUUGCUUGAUAUCUGAUGAAGACAUUCAGUGUGACGUGGCACUCUCAGCCUGAUGAUUCACUAAUGGUUAUUCCCUUCAUGCAUAAACUACAGCUGCAUAUUUGCUAUUUUGGGGGGGACAAAAAAAGCCUCCCCCCGCAUUAGCAUUAGCAUUGAUGAAUGGCAGGGUUUAUGUCAUGUAUGUUUCAGCUACUUUUACUUAUGUGUGUAUUGAAUUAAAAAAAAAAAAAAAAAGUAAAAGUAUCAACAUUAACAUUUGAAACCUUUCUCUCUCUCUCUCUCUCUCUCUCUCUCUCUCUCUCUCUCUCUCUCUCUCUCUCUCUCUCUCUCUCUCUCUCUCUCUCUCUCUCUGUCUGCAUCCAUGACAUAUGGAGACACAGAGGUGCCACCUCAGCUGCAUUCAGGAUCCACCAGGUGUGCAGCUGUACACAGAGGCCGGUAGGCUGACAAAGGGCGGGGUCAGCCUGCUGGUUUCCACCUUACAUAGUUCAUCCCAGCCAGUGCCAAGUACUUCCAACACCUGCCAGACAGAGCUGGACAAAUAGCAAGUUGUCUUCCCUCCCAGAUACCAGGAGAGGCAGCUUUAGGAUACAGUUCAAGGUUGGAGUCUCCAGAGCUGUUUUCUUGAAAUGAACUCAGGCCCUGCAAACUGGCCCAGUGCCAGCCGCCUGGUGGAGGCCAGUGGCCACGUGGUCCAGAGUGACCAUAAGGACUUGGUCGUCCCUCAUCCUCGAAGACUAUGUGGCCAUUAGAGAGGCAGCGCUGGCCAGCCUGAGGUUGAUGGCUCAAACCAACAUCCAGCUCUUUGAAUUAAAAUGAGAACUCAGUGGUGCUGGCCAGACUCUUCAGCAAAGGGUCUGUCUUUGGUACAGGUGGGAUAAGGACAGCCCUUAAACUUCAAUGUCCCAGAGGAGCAGCCUGAGCCCUCCAGCAGGGGUCUGCCUUCUCCUCCUCCUCCAGACAAUGAACAGCUUGGCCCCUCAUCCAGUGCUGUUGGUCCUCCCUUCGCUCCAGCUCCACUCCCCUCUUCUGUUCAGCCAGUUCCUCUGGCCUGGACUACAUGUACCCAGGACCAGAGCCUAUAGGAAGAGGAAGGCGGCCCGAAGCUUCUGUGGCAGAGCGGGGGCCGCUGCCUGGAGGAAAAACCUGCUGGCAGCCGACAUCAUACAUCUGUAGCUAGUG